AUCAACUUUCGAUGGUAGGAUAGAGGCCUACCAUGGUGGUAACGGGUGACGGAGAAUUAGGGUUCGAUUCCGGAGAGGGAGCCUGAGAAACGGCUACCACAUCCAAGGAAGGCAGCAGGCGCGCAAAUUACCCAAUCCCGACAUGGGGAGGUAGUGACAAUAAAUAACAAUACAGGGUUCUUUUGGAUCUUGUAAUUGGAAUGAGUACAAUUUAAAUCUCUUAACGAGGAACAAUUGGAGGGCAAGUCUGGUGCCAGCAGCCGCGGUAAUUCCAGCUCCAAUAGCGUAUAUUAAAGUUGUUGCAGUUAAAAAGCUCGUAGUUGAAUUUCGGGAUCAAGGAAUCGGUCAUGCCUCGGUAUGUACUGGUUUUAUUGGUUCUCACCUUCUAAAGAACCAUAAUGUCAUUCAUUUGAUGUUAUGGGGAAUUAGGACUGUUACCUUGAAAAAAUUAGAGUGUUUAAAGCAGGCUUACGCUUGAAUACAUUAGCAUGGAAUAAUGAAAUAGGACAUCAGAUUCUAUUUUGUUGGUUUCUAGGAUCGAUGUAAUGAUUAAUAGGGAUAGUUGGGGGCAUUAGUAUUCAAUUGUCAGAGGUGAAAUUCUUGGAUUUAUUGAAGACUAACUACUGCGAAAAGCAUUUGCCAAGGAUGUUUUUCAUUUAAUCAAGAAACGAAAGUUAGGGGGAUCGAAGACGAUCAGAUACCGUUCGUAGUCUUAAACUAUA
This 722-nucleotide ribosomal RNA is filed under the name uncultured Glomus. RNAcentral describes it as "SSU rRNA". It matches the Rfam family "Eukaryotic small subunit ribosomal RNA", at positions 314 to 1034 of the family's 1831-position model. The record is from RNAcentral. Lineage: Eukaryota; Fungi; Glomeromycota; Glomeromycetes; Glomerales; Glomeraceae.